RNAcentral lists this unclassified non-coding RNA (213 nucleotides) under plant metagenome. RNAcentral's name for it is "partial contains small subunit ribosomal RNA, internal transcribed spacer 1, and 5.8S ribosomal RNA". The record is from RNAcentral.
UCUCCGUAGGUGAACCUGCGGAGGGAUCACUACAGGCUUGCAAGAGCUCUGAAACCACUGUUUAUCUACCUGAAUCUGCUUCGGCGGGCGGCCCCAGGGCGGGGCCGUAGCCGCAAGGCGCCCGCCGAAGACCCCUAAGCUCUGUCGUCUUGAGAAUCUCUGAGUAUCAUAUUAAACAGAAAACAACUUUCAACAACGGAUCUCUUGGCUCUG